Molecule: non-coding RNA, 151 nt
Filed under: bovine gut metagenome
Also listed under: 1 other name
Description: glmS glucosamine-6-phosphate activated ribozyme
Rfam family: glmS glucosamine-6-phosphate activated ribozyme aptamer
About the family: This entry contains a glucosamine-6-phosphate activated ribozyme that is found in the mRNA for GlmS. GlmS is an enzyme that uses fructose-6-phosphate and glutamine to generate glucosamine-6-phosphate. The ribozyme catalyses self cleavage of the glmS mRNA that is thought to regulate GlmS activity.
Source: RNAcentral
UAAAAUUAGCGCCAGACCUUGUUACAGAGCGGUGUACAGGGUUGACGAGGACGAAGGUUAUCGAAAAUUCGGCGGAUGCCUUUGCGUGAUUAUGGGAGCAUGUUAUCCUUCAGACAAAAUACCGGGUAACCGGGGCACAAAAACUGAUGGA